Molecule: small RNA, 131 nt
Filed under: Salmonella enterica subsp. enterica serovar Hadar
Lineage: Bacteria; Pseudomonadati; Pseudomonadota; Gammaproteobacteria; Enterobacterales; Enterobacteriaceae
Description: RtT RNA
Rfam family: RtT RNA
About the family: This family represents a bacterial cis-regulatory element known as RtT RNA. The exact function of RtT is unknown although it is thought that it may be involved in changing the cellular response in relation to amino acid starvation.
Source: RNAcentral
GUCUGCACUUGUCGGGGAAGGGUGAGAACCUUCGACUAAGGUUCGAUUCGAGCGCAGCGAGAAAGCGUUGCCGCAGGCAACGACCCGAAGGGCGAAGCGCGCAGCGCUGAGUCAUCCUUCCCCCACCACCA